Non-coding RNA from Triticum aestivum (bread wheat), 125 nucleotides. The record is from Rfam. NCBI's taxonomy places the organism in Eukaryota, Viridiplantae, Streptophyta, Magnoliopsida, Poales, Poaceae.
AUAUUACUCCCUCCGUCCAGAAAUACUUGUCGGAGAAAUGGAUCAAAAUUGAUGUAUCUAAGACUGAAAUAUGUCUAGAUACAUCCAUUUCUCUGACAAGUAUUUUCGAACGGAGGGAGUAUAAU